UUCCUGUGUGGAACUUGGGAUUCGAACGGCAGGCGGGAAGUGCUCUAGCAGGGGAGUCUGACCUUGUGAGGGAAUACCUGUGUCCCCCCUUUUUUCCCCUUUUUACCCAAUAAAACCCUGCCUUACUCACCCUUUAAAUCAUCUGCGAGCCUGAAUUUUCAUGGCCGUGGGACGGACAAGAACUUUAUCUUCAGCUGAACUAAGAAAAAGUCCUGCAACAUUUUUGGCGCGCAAUGUGGGGGCACCAGAAGCGGGCACCGUUGAGCUGUUGCAACUGUUCUGCUGGAGCCUUAUGUAUGUGGUUGAAACCACCUGUACUACUGGAAUGAAAGCACCUUUACAGAAGAGGCAAUGCAAGUUGUAUUCAUCACAUGUGUAGAAUGAAUUAAGAUUUAUGCCAGUUGCAAAGAAGAAUAUUGGCUCACUAUUUUUCCUCUGGGCAUGUGGAAAUGUAAAUCAGUCCAUGUUACUCACCUCGGAGAAGCAGAAGUACGAUUUACUAUUGUUGCUUGCUUACUUACUCUUAUCAAUUUCUAUGAGAGAAAGAGACCUCAAGUAAACCUCCAGCAGCCAUCUGGACUUCCAUGAAAACAGAACAAUCAGUGAGAUGCAGAGCUUGGAGGAGACAGUUUCCAUAGACUGAAGCACGUGCUGAAGCAAAGUUCACACUUGCAGGAUUAGAAGAGGUUGACCGAAAGAAGGAAGGACAUGGACAGCUAUGUUGUUGUGGAGUCCUGUUUUAUAGUCAUAACCUUGAGUCAAGUGAGUUUGUCUGGACAGACAGAGCUUGUUGCCUUUACUUAUAGGGAAGGCACCGGACACAGACAGCCUCAAGGACAUUUGUUCUAGCCUUUCAGUAUCCUUUCUCUUAAUUAUCUCACCUCAUCCAUGAAGCUGGUAUGUACGAUUUUUCCUUUCUUUCUCAAUCCUUUAAAAAAUUAAAGCUCUAAAUCUCAUUUCCACUUAGAUUUUAAUGUUGCAUUGUAACUUAAGAUAAAACCUUGCUCUGAUGUUAAAAAUACUAAAGUAAGAAGCAAUAUGGCAUAGUGCUUAUGAGCAGGACUACAUAGUUCUUUCUGAAUACAAAUCUCAGAUAAAACACUAUCUCAGUGAUCAACCAGGUUAAGCAACCUUUUUAGUGCCUCAAUUAUUCCAUUUGUAAAAUUGUAAUAAUGAUAGUACUAACCUAUAAGAUUGUGGUGAGGAUUAAGUCAGAUAAUACAAAAGAAGCAUUUAGAGUAUUUCCUGGCAUUAUCUACCAUUUAUUGAAUUUUUAUGGUUAAGAAGAAUAAGGAAAAGCAGAAGAAAAGGAAAAGAGAAAAAAUACAUAAGAAGAAGGAAGAGUGGUAAGCUCUAGUAAAUUACAACAAACGGUAACGUAGAAAACAUUUGUUAGCCCUUAAUAUAGGCCAGGCACUGUGUUCAAUGCUUAAACCUCAUUACUGUUCUUUGAAGUGGAUAACAUUAUUCCUUCCAUUUUAAAGAAAGGAAUACUAAAGACAACUUUGUCAAUAUUAUUCAUGUAAUAAAUGACAGAAUUUGACCAAGACAAUAGAGAAUGAACUCUUAAUCACUAUAUUGUUUUAUUUUUUGAAAAUAGAUUUUAAGUUCUUAUUAAAUGUUAAUGACUCACAUCAAAAUAAAGCCAAUCAAAAUUGACAGCAA
This is a long non-coding RNA of Homo sapiens (human), 1665 nucleotides long. Ensembl annotates it as MIR924 host gene. Its record names the gene MIR924HG. The record is from Ensembl. Lineage: Eukaryota; Metazoa; Chordata; Mammalia; Primates; Hominidae.